This 253-nucleotide ribosomal RNA is filed under the name uncultured bacterium. RNAcentral's name for it is "partial 16S ribosomal RNA". It matches the Rfam family "Bacterial small subunit ribosomal RNA", at positions 524 to 776 of the family's 1533-position model. The record is from RNAcentral.
UACGAAGGGGCUAGCGUUGCUCGGAUUGACUGGGCGUAAAGGGCGCGUAGGCGGUUUGCACAGUCAGACGUGAAAUUCCUGGGCUUAACCUGGGGGCUGCGUUUGAUACGUGCAGGCUUGAGUUCGGAAGAGGGUCGUGGGAAUUCCCAGUGUAGAGGUGAAAUUCGUAGAUAUUGGGGAAGAACACCGGUGGCGAAGGCGCGACCUGGUCCGAUACUGACGCUGAGGCGCGAAAGCGUGGGGAGCGAACAGG